AAUAUUUUAUAUAUUAUAUAUUUUAAAAUAUUUUUAUAAAGUUAAUCAAUUGACCACACUUAAUAGCAUGUAGCUCUGCCCUUAUAUUAGCCCUCUCAAAAAAAUAUUUUUUAGCUUCGCCACUGAACGUUAUAGUAUUGUUUCAUACUCCCUUGAAAAUUCUUUUCGAUUAAUGGUAACAUGACCAACUUUUUUUUUUUACUUGACUUGAACCACAGGUGCUUAUCGUUUCAAGAGAAAGUCAUAUUGAAUAAAUCUCCAC
Molecule: unclassified non-coding RNA, 262 nt
Filed under: Hevea brasiliensis (rubber tree)
Lineage: Eukaryota; Viridiplantae; Streptophyta; Magnoliopsida; Malpighiales; Euphorbiaceae
Source: RNAcentral